AUUAAGAUUUUUCUAAAAAUCACUGAACAAAUUUAGAAAAGGCUUUU
Molecule: non-coding RNA, 47 nt
Organism: Gasterosteus aculeatus (three-spined stickleback)
Lineage: Eukaryota; Metazoa; Chordata; Actinopteri; Perciformes; Gasterosteidae
Source: Rfam